Molecule: ribosomal RNA, 253 nt
Filed under: uncultured bacterium
Lineage: Bacteria
Description: partial 16S ribosomal RNA
Rfam family: Bacterial small subunit ribosomal RNA
Source: RNAcentral
CACGAACCGUACGAACGUUAUUCGGUAUCACUGGGCUUAAAGCGUGCGUAGGCGGCCUUGUAGGUCGGGUGUGAAAUCCCACGGCUCAACCGUGGAACUGCGCCCGAAACCACAAGGCUUGAGGGAAGCAGGGGUGUGCGGAACUGAUGGUGGAGCGGUGAAAUGCGUUGAUAUUAUCAGGAACACCGGUGGCGAAAGCGGCACACUGGGCUUCUUCUGACGCUCAGGCACGAAAGCUAGGGGAGCGAACGGG